RNAcentral lists this unclassified non-coding RNA (253 nucleotides) under Glomeraceae sp. RNAcentral's name for it is "partial contains 5.8S ribosomal RNA and internal transcribed spacer 2". The stretch from base 1 to 71 matches the Rfam family "5.8S ribosomal RNA", at positions 84 to 154 of the family's 154-position model. Lineage: Eukaryota; Fungi; Glomeromycota; Glomeromycetes; Glomerales; Glomeraceae. The record is from RNAcentral.
GUGAAUCAUCAAAUCUUUGAACGCAAAUUGCACUCUCUGGUAUUCCGGAGAGUAUGCCUGUUUGAGGGUCAGUUAAAUAAAAAUCGAGGUGGUUGCUGCUUUUCGUGGUGACGCACCGGAUUUGGGUCGUCUUGCCUUCGGUUAAUUGACCUAUAAUUUUGCAUGAUUUUUUCGAACGUAUUUAAAUGAUGUUACGUACGUUUGCGGUAUCGUAUACUAGGUUUGGUCAUCCUCAUGAUUCGUGCCUAUAAUU